GUCUGUAGGCUCAUUGCAAUCUCUUGAAGCCUAAUAUUGUGGGCCAGUGGAUUUGAUACUACUCGAUAUAGUGCCAGAGAAUCAAAGGGAUUGAGCUUCAAAAAAUAGAGAAAGCUCAAGCAGUUUUCCAUUGAUCUAUAGGGCCCUAAACAGAAUGGAGAAAGAAAAUUCAUGUAGCUGACACAGCUAGUUUGGGAUGAAGGCUUAGUUGAGUUGAGUUGUAUCAUUAUCCAUACGGCUCUUACCAUUUAUGAACUCAUAGAACUAUCAAAAGUGAAUCAAAUUCUAGAUAUACUCCUUAUAUUCAAACUCCUAUUACAAUAAGCUAAAAUUAAAUCAGACCCCUAACAUUCCCUUAAUCAAUUCCUUUUUAAGGAAAAAAAAACUGUAAAGAGUUUCCAAAACAGCACAGUGGUACUCCUAAUUAGAUUAGUAUCCCAUCAAGCUCAACAAGGUCAUUACCUACUGCAAGCAGAUGGUGGGAAGGGGAUCAACGUCUCCCUCAAGAUGCUUGCUCAAGAAAGCAAUAGAAGUCUCUUUCUUUUUCUUUUAUCUUCAAUUUGGCAAACUUGUUUAAGAAGAACUCUCAAAAAGUAUUUUCUUAUUAGGUUGAGAAUAACACUUCUUCAAUAAUC
RNAcentral lists this long non-coding RNA (635 nucleotides) under Elaeis guineensis (African oil palm). Its description in RNAcentral is "long non-coding RNA (EGUI_LNC026501)". The record is from RNAcentral. Lineage: Eukaryota; Viridiplantae; Streptophyta; Magnoliopsida; Arecales; Arecaceae.